This 510-nucleotide ribosomal RNA is filed under the name uncultured bacterium. RNAcentral describes it as "bacterial SSU rRNA". It matches the Rfam family "Bacterial small subunit ribosomal RNA", at positions 29 to 507 of the family's 1533-position model. The record is from RNAcentral.
AGUGAACGCUGGCGGCGUGCUUAACACAUGCAAGUCGAACGCGAAAAGGUAGCAAUACCUGAGUAGAGUGGCGAACGGGUGAGUAAUGUGUGGGUAAUUUGCCUUUCAGAGGGGGAUAACCUGGCGAAAGCCGGGCUAAUACCGCGUAAUAUCCAAUGUUUACGGACGUUGGAUCAAAGGAUGGGGAAUCCGCCUCGGCGGAACCUAUCGCUGAAAGAUGAGCCCACAUCCUAUCACGCUUGUUGGUGAGGUAAUGGCUCACCAAGGCGACGACGGGUAGCCGGCCUGAGAGGGUGUCCGGCCACACUGGAACUGAGACACGGUCCAGACUCCUACGGGAGGCAGCAGUGGGGAAUUUUUCGCAAUGGGCGAAAGCCUGACGAAGCAACGCCGCGUGGAGGAUGAAGGCCCUAGUGGUCGUAAACUCCUGUCUAGCGGGACGAAAGUCCGCCAUGUGAAUAAUUUGGCGGAUUGACUGUACCGCUGGAGGAAGCUCCGGCCAACUCCGUG